This 253-nucleotide ribosomal RNA is filed under the name uncultured bacterium. RNAcentral describes it as "partial 16S ribosomal RNA". It matches the Rfam family "Bacterial small subunit ribosomal RNA", at positions 524 to 776 of the family's 1533-position model. The record is from RNAcentral.
GACAGAGGUCCCGAGCGUUAGGCGGAAUCACUGGGCUUAAAGCGUGUGUAGGCGGUUUGGUAAGUACCUUGUGAAAUCCCACGGCUCAACCGUGGAACUGCUUGGUAUACUGCUUAUCUUGGGCCACUUAGGGGUUACCGGAACAAACGGUGGAGCGGUGAAAUGCGUAGAUAUCGGGUGGAACGCCAAUGGUGAAAACAGGUAACUGGGAGGGUGCCGACGCUGAGACACGAAAGCCAGGGGAGCGAACGGG